Molecule: transfer RNA, 61 nt
Filed under: Hemidactylus festivus
Lineage: Eukaryota; Metazoa; Chordata; Lepidosauria; Squamata; Gekkonidae
Description: tRNA-Ser
Source: RNAcentral
GAGGGGGAUUCAACUAGACUGCUAACCUAGUAGUCCAAAAUUAGCCUUUUGGCCCCCUCCA